GACGAACGCUGGCGGCGUGCUUAACACAUGCAAGUCGAACGGAAAGGCCCUGCUUUUGUGGGGUGCUCGAGUGGCGAACGGGUGAGUAACACGUGAGUAACCUGCCCUUGACUUUGGGAUAACUUAAGGAAACUGGGGCUAAUACCGGAUAGGAGCUCCUGCUGCAUGGUGGGGGUUGGAAAGUUUCGGCGGUUGGGGAUGGACUCGCGGCUUAUCAGCUUGUUGGUGGGGUAGUGGCUUACCAAGGCUUUGACGGGUAGCCGGCCUGAGAGGGUGACCGGCCUCAUUGGGACUGAGAUACGGCCCAGACUCCUACGGGAGGCAGCAGUGGGGAAUAUUGCACAAUGGGCGGAAGCCUGAUGCAGCAACGCCGCGUGCGGGAUGACGGCCUUCUGGGUGUAAACCGCUUUCGCCUGUGACGAAGCGUGAGUGACGGUAAUGGGUAAAGAAGCACCGGCUAACUACGUG
This 468-nucleotide ribosomal RNA is filed under the name uncultured bacterium. RNAcentral's name for it is "partial 16S ribosomal RNA". It matches the Rfam family "Bacterial small subunit ribosomal RNA", at positions 28 to 507 of the family's 1533-position model. The record is from RNAcentral.